GCCCUUAGAGUUUGAUCCUGGCUCAGAACGAACGCUGGCGGCGUGGAUAAGACAUGCAAGUCGAACGGGGAAUUUUUAAGCUUGCUUUGAAAUUCCCAGUGGCGGACGGGUGAGUAACACGUGAGUUACCUGCCCCAAAGUGGGGGAUAGCCUCUCGAAAGAGAGAUUAAUACCGCAUGUGAUCGUAAGAUUAAAGGUGGCGCAAGCUGCCGCUUUGGGAUGGGCUCGCGGCCUAUCAGCUAGUUGGUGAGGUAAAGGCUCACCAAGGCGAUGACGGGUAGCUGGUCUGAGAGGACGACCAGUCACACUGGAACUGAGACACGGUCCAGACACCUACGGGUGGCAGCAGUCGAGAAUCAUUCACAAUGGGCGAAAGCCUGAUGGUGCGACGCCGCGUGGAGGACGAAGGCCCUAGGGUCGUAAACUCCUGUCAUCAGGGAGUAAGGCGUUUACCAGUAACUGGGUAGGCGAUUGAUAGUACCUGAAGAGGAAGGGACGGCUAACUUCGUGCCAGCAGCCGCGGUAAUAAGGGCG
Molecule: ribosomal RNA, 534 nt
Filed under: uncultured bacterium
Lineage: Bacteria
Description: bacterial SSU rRNA
Rfam family: Bacterial small subunit ribosomal RNA
Source: RNAcentral